UUUAAGUGCACCCAUAAAUUUUCGUAUCCAAUUUUGAUCGUCUGUCUUAUUUAAAAAAUAUUAUGAUUAUUAUUUCUACUGUUAUGAGAUGAUAAAAUAUGGAUAGUACUUUAUGUGUGAGUUAUGUUUUUAAAUUUUUUAAGAAUUUUUAAAUAAGAUGGACAAUUAAAAUUGGGAGUAGCUAUAUUUAUG
Oryza punctata is the source of this 192-nucleotide non-coding RNA. The record is from Rfam. Lineage: Eukaryota; Viridiplantae; Streptophyta; Magnoliopsida; Poales; Poaceae.